This is an RNA transcript of Hemibagrus wyckioides, 5918 nucleotides long. It is a transcript of the gene named glutamate receptor, ionotropic, AMPA 3b, with no coding region annotated. The record is from RefSeq and is a predicted model, not a curated record. Lineage: Eukaryota; Metazoa; Chordata; Actinopteri; Siluriformes; Bagridae. The transcript is spliced from 15 exons.
GAGAGAGAGAGAUGGUCUGCACAACGAAAGACACUGAUGCGGUUUGCACCCCAGGCUUUAAUUAACCUGGUUAGGUUCUCUGAGCAUAAUGGUGAAAGAACGUCUUCGUGUUUCCUCGAGGUCGCCAUAACACCGGCUUUUGUGCCAUUUUCGCAUUGAUCGGCGGUGCGAGCUUUGCGCGGUCCUAUUCAUCCGCCUUGCAGUGUGUGAGAGAGGCUGCUGUAGGCGCACAGAGAAGGUCUUCUUCUCCUUCGCUUUUCUUCUUCGUCAUUUAAUCCACUUCAACCGGAGUGUGACCGGAGUAGCCCUAGAUCCGCAGUAGAUCCGCCAUCAUCUUUUACGGAAUAAGUCUCCUCAUUUGCUCUCUCUCUCUCUCUCUCUCUCUCUCUCUCUUCACGUGCAGACACGUUUAUUUCGUUCAGCUUCUCUAUGAAGCUAUUGCGCGCACUGCAAGCGCGCACUGCUGUUCAUUCGUCUGGACGCUUUGGUUGGUUGUGCAUGUGAUUCCCCUUUUUUAUACUCGGAACUGUUCGGGGUUUUUCUUUUUAUUUAAAAAAGAGGACAAAAUGGCACGAAUGAGUGCAGUUCCUCUUUUCUUCUGGCUUUUGGGUAGAUCUCUCGCCGGAUUUCCAAACCAGAUAAAUAUAGGUGGGCUCUUCAUGCGCUCAACGGUGCAAGAACACAGCGCGUUCAGAUUUGCUGUGCAGCUCUACAACACCAACCAGAACAUGAGUGAGAAGCCCUUCCAUCUGAACUACAACGUGGAUAACCUGGAGUCCUCCAACAGCUUCUCCGUCACUCAUGCCUUCUGCUCUCAGUUCUCCAGAGGUGUCUACGCCAUCUUCGGCUUCUAUGACAAGAAGUCCAUGAACACGUUGACCUCCUUCUGUGGUGCCCUCCACACUUCCUUCAUCACACCCAGUUAUCCGAUCGACUCUGACGUCCAGUUUGUCAUCCAGAUGCGCCCGCCCCUAAAGGGGGCCGUCCUUAGUCUCCUGACCUAUUAUAGAUGGGAGAAGUUUGUGUACCUCUACGAUACAGAUAGAGGAUUCUCCAUACUGCAAGCCAUAAUGGAGGCAGCGGUGGCAAACAACUGGCAGGUGACAGCUCGAUCAGUGGGGAGCGUGACAGACCCACAGGAGUAUAGGCGCAUCCUGGAGGAAAUGGACAGAAGGCAGGAGAAGCGCUAUCUCAUUGACUGUGAAGUGGACAGGAUCAACACCAUCUUAGAGCAGGUUGUGACCCUGGGCAAGAACAGCCGAGGCUACCAUUACAUCUUGGCCAAUCUGGGCUUCUCCAACGUGAGCCUGGACAAGGUAUAUGUCGGCGGCGCAAACAUAAGUGGCUUUCAAAUAAUCAAUCCUGAAAACGCUGUCGUGCAGCAGUUCCUUCAGCGCUGGGACCGGUUAGAUGAAAGAGAAUUCCCAGAGGCGAGGAACACACCUCUGAAGUACACCUCUGCGUUGUCGUACGAUGCCAUCCUGGUGAUUGCAGAGGCCUUCCGGUACCUGCGGCGCCAGCGCGUGGAUGUCUCAAGGCGGGGCAGUGCUGGAGAUUGCUUGGCUAAUCCAGCAGUCCCCUGGAGUCAAGGCAUCGACAUUGAGAGGGCUCUCAAAAUGGUCCAAGUGCAAGGGAUGACCGGCAAUAUCCAGUUUGACAGUUUCGGCCGCAGAUCAAACUACACUAUCGACGUUUAUGAGAUGAAAGCAGGCGGGCCAAGAAAGAUCGGGUACUGGAACGAGUUUGAGCGCUUUGUAAAUAUAAUGGAUCAGCCAUACAGCAACGAUUCGUCCUCAGUGGAAAACCGAACAAUUGUGGUCACUACUAUUAUGGAAGCACCGUAUGUGAUGUACAAGAAAAACCAUAUGCAUCUGGAAGGCAAUGAGAAGUAUGAAGGCUACUGUGUCGAUUUAGCUUCUGAGAUAGCCAAACACGUUGGGAUUAAGUACAGACUGUCCAUAGUCAUGGACGGCAAGUAUGGCGCCCGCGACCCUGAGACCAAAACAUGGAACGGGAUGGUGGGUGAACUAGUAUAUGGGAGAGCGGACAUAGCUGUCGCACCACUGACUAUAACGCUGGUUCGAGAAGAAGUGAUCGAUUUCUCUAAGCCCUUCAUGAGCUUGGGUAUUUCUAUUAUGAUCAAGAAACCUCAGAAGUCCAAGCCAGGCGUGUUCUCCUUCCUGGACCCGCUGGCGUAUGAGAUCUGGAUGUGCAUAGUGUUCGCCUACAUCGGUGUGAGUGUGGUGCUGUUCCUCGUGAGCCGCUUCAGUCCGUACGAGUGGCAUCUGGACGAGACAGAUGAAGCCAAAGACCCCCAGACUCCUCCCGACCCGCCUAAUGACUUUGGGAUUUUUAACAGCCUGUGGUUCUCUCUGGGGGCAUUCAUGCAGCAGGGCUGUGAUAUCUCACCAAGGUCCUUAUCGGGAAGAAUAGUGGGAGGUGUCUGGUGGUUCUUCACUCUCAUCAUCAUCUCGUCCUAUACUGCUAACCUGGCUGCCUUCCUCACAGUCGAGAGAAUGGUCUCGCCCAUUGAAAGUGCAGAAGAUCUAGCCAAACAAACUGAGAUUGCCUAUGGAACACUGGACUCAGGUUCUACCAAAGAGUUCUUUAGGCGCUCGAAAAUAGCAGUGUAUGAAAAAAUGUGGUCAUACAUGAAAUCUGCCGAGCCAUCUGUUUUUGCCAAGACCACGCCAGAUGGGGUGGCCCGGGUGCGAAAGUCGAAGGGCAAGUUUGCCUUUCUGUUGGAGUCCACCAUGAAUGAAUACAUCGAGCAGAGGAAGCCAUGCGACACCAUGAAAGUCGGAGGAAAUCUCGACUCUAAAGGCUAUGGUGUGGCGACCCCCAAGGGCUCAGCAUUAAGAAACGCUGUUAACCUGGCAGUUUUAAAACUGAAUGAGCAAGGCCUCUUGGACAAAUUGAAAAACAAAUGGUGGUACGACAAGGGAGAGUGCGGCAGCGGGGGAGGUGACUCCAAGGUCAGCCUCAAUGUCACCAAAAUCGGGUACCAUAGUGCAGAGUAAUCGGCAAGGCUGUUAUUCCUGAACGGAUGCCCCUUAGACAUGGCGCAAGCCACGUGAUUCAUUUCUUUUCUUGCCUUUUCCUGAAACACGGUCCUGAUUCUGAUUGUUCAAAAUAAGAUUAAACUUAGAACCCUGAUUUGGCUAAUGGAGGAGGAAAAGGACCAGUACGAUUUUGUGCUACUGAGGAGAGCUUUUUGAAAGUAGGGACUGAACUGCGCACUGUAUUCGAAUAGGCAAAAUAGUUUUAGAGUUGUUCCAACUAUAUUUAACACUAGUUACAAGUUAGGUCUCAUUUGUUUUUAUCAUCCAACACUAUAAGUGUUAAGUGUGUCCAUUUAUAUAUGUGUGUGUUUGAGGAACCACACGGGUGAAUACACCUGCCCAGCAGUUGGUAAAGGGAGACAGAGGGUUUUGGUCUUCUUUUUCCCUCUGCUGGGCAGCAGCCCCAUGAUUUAAACUCAUUAUAUUUGCGCAUUAUACUUACGUUAUAUUUGAUAUUAUGCAACAGUUUUUUGAGAAUACUCAACAAAAUUCUAAAGCAUUAUGAAGUAAGCAUGCACUGGACAUAAAGGUUCAAUGUACCAGCAUCUCGUGUGUUUUCCAGACCCCAAGCCUGAGAUACGUUAGGCAGUAAAGGAAUGUGCAAGAAUUUGAACCUCAACAUCAGUCACAUGCCCUGAGUGGAUUAAAAAAGACCCUCCUUCUACAUCUGUAACCAUCAGGCAUAACUGCUGCUCCACCCUCUCUAUUAGGAUAAAUGGGAAGAGUGCUGACAUUUCCAACCUUAUAAAGUAACGGAAAAUCACUCACAGAUUAAUUGAGAUUUUAAAAAUCCAUUCCUCAGUUUUUGUAAAGUGUAAUAGGAAAGGUUCUGUUGCCUCAUACUGGAUAUUUACACAUUUUAACAAAUAUGGCUUUAUUUCCCUUCAGGCAAGCAAAUAAUCCCUUUUAUUAAGAUUACUUGUAUAUUUACCUCCUUUUUAGGAUGAUUAGCCCAAACAAUGGACAGACACAACAAGUUAAGUUGAGAAGUUUUGAGAAUCAAUUUUAUUCAGUGAGGCAGUCAGUGAGACAGUCAGUCCGUCAGUCAGUGGGACUUUCAGACAGUCAGUUUAUGAGUUAGACAGUCAGUCAGUGAGACAGUCAGUCCAUCAGUCAGCCAGACAGCAAGACAAUCAGUCAGUGAGACAGUUAGUCAUCAGUCAAUCAGAAGGCCAGUCAGUGUUACAGUCAGUCCAUCAGUCAGUCAGUCAGUGAGCAAGACGGCUAGUCAGUGAGACAGUCAGUCAACCACUGAGUCAGUGAGUCAAAUAUUUUUGAUUUUGUCCAGCAUUAUACUAGUCCAUGGCUGUGCCUGUCAUUGCUUGGGCUUUUCAGAAAUUGUAGCUUUCCUGAAAAUGCGGCCUACGCUCUUAAGGAGUCUCUAAGCUGCUGUAAAUAUUUUUUUCUUUUUUGCUUAUAGCAAAAGAUCAUGGUUUCUGUUACAUACAGGAACACGUCUCAACUUUUUUUUUUUUUUUUACAACCAGAGAAGCCCCAGGCUGUGGGAGAAAGUGACAGUUUGCAUGCACUUUUCCUAAUCACCUCCUCUGUUCCAGCUUUUGUUGCUCUUUUUUCCAGUCUGCAGCGAUUUUGAAGCCCACAUCGGCCAACACACAGUCGGUGAGCCAGCUCUAAUGAGCUUGUGUUGGGAGACGACAGUGGCUCUCCUGGACCAGGCCCCAAAAGCCAGCUGUGAAAAAGGCAAAAAGAAAAGAACUAGGAAAAAAAAAAAAGUUUUUAAGUACACAAGAGAAAGAAGUAGAAAAAAAGCUUGUUAAGUCACCUGUAACAAAGCAACAUCAUGAAUCCAACAGCCCCUUCUCCUCCGUGCCCCUGGCACACACUUGCCAUCACUUCCUUCUGAUUGGUUUUCUCACUCCAGUCACACCAAACACUUAGAGGAUAAUUACUCUGUUAAUCAAUGUCUCUCCUCAAGCCAAAAAGAAAUGCGUGGGCUGGAAGCUCGCUUUUCUAUGAGCUGCCACUGCAAAGGCAAUGAAUGUUUAAGCCACUCUGGAUACCUAGAGCAUGCAGAACUGUUUUUUCUUUCUUUCACCUCUUUAAAAAGACAAAUUUGGAUUUGGCCAAAUAAUUCUAAUCGAAAACCUAAUGUCAGUCUAAGCAGUGAUUAUAUCUUAUAUCUAGAGGUCAGCGGUUAUACAAAUUUCAACCAAGCUAUUAUUGCAUAGAAAGAUCAUUUCCAGGUUAGGAUUUAUUUUCCACUUUUUUUCUGCUCUUUAACUUUAGUGUGUCUCUAUGUUUUAUGCUUUAUCUUCCUAAUACUAGUAGGUUCUCUGAUUUUCUUAUGACUCUCCUCAGCUUGAACAAAAUAUUACUGGUAAUUUUUGUUUGUCUGUCAGUCAGUAAAGGGUUCCUAGCUGAUCAGACUUCUCAGACUGUCUGUAUCAUAAGUGAACGAAUGCAUUCUCCUCUGCUUCUAUAGAUCAGCAGGUCAUAUCUUCCGCAACCUGCGUGUUCUUCUCUUAACAGUGUAUGCCGAUUACUCAAAGCGAUAUGGGUAGGUCCUGGCACCUUAGCGUAGCUUCUGCUGGAUAGAAGGUAACAGUCAGAAAUGCCUGCCAGUGUGUGUUGUGGAGAAAUGGCCAGGAGUCCUGCUUUAUCGCUUUGUAAAGUAUGAAAGUAGAUAAGACUUGAAUAACAUAAAAUAACAUAAUAUAAUGUUAUUUAUGUUAUUUCCCACGUGAAGAACUCCUGUAAACCUUGCAGUAUUGAAACUCAGUGAACAAGGCAUCUUAGCCAAGCUGAAAAACAAAUGGUGGUACGAUAAGGGUGAAUGUGGGACCAAGGACUCUGGAAGUAAGGACAAGACAAGUGCUUUGAGUCUGAGCAAUGUAG